RNAcentral lists this ribosomal RNA (574 nucleotides) under Entyloma sp. PB 4898-9. RNAcentral describes it as "eukaryotic LSU rRNA". It matches the Rfam family "Eukaryotic large subunit ribosomal RNA", at positions 67 to 625 of the family's 3401-position model. Lineage: Eukaryota; Fungi; Basidiomycota; Exobasidiomycetes; Entylomatales; Entylomataceae. The record is from RNAcentral.
AACAAGGAUUCCCCUAGUAACGGCGAGUGAAGCGGGAAGAGCUCAAAUUUGAAAGCUGUUGCCUUUGGUAACCGCAUUGUAAUCAUCGAGAUCUGUUUUCCGCGCUGGACCAUGUACAAGUCCCUUGGAAUAGGGCGUCAUAGAGGGUGAGAAUCCCGUACUUGACAUGGACUCCCAGUGCUUUGUGAUACAGGCUCAACGAGUCGAGUUGUUUGGGAAUGCAGCUCAAAAUGGGUGGUAAAUUCCAUCUAAAGCUAAAUAUUGGGGAGAGACCGAUAGCGAACAAGUACCGUGAGGGAAAGAUGAAAAGCACUUUGGAAAGAGAGUUAAACAGUACGUGAAAUUGUCAAAAGGGAACCGUUUGAAGUUAGUCAUGCUUGCCUGGACUCAGCCUUGCUUUUGCUUGGUGCAUUUCCAGGUACGCAGGUCAGCAUCGGUUUUGACUGCUGGAUAAGGGUGAGAGGAAUGUGGCACCCUCGGGUGUGUUAUAGCCUUUCACUGGAUGCAGCAGUUGGGACCGAGGAAGGCAGCGCGCCUUUAUGGCGGACCUUCGGGUACCUUCGCGCUUAGGAUG